This 362-nucleotide unclassified non-coding RNA is filed under the name soil metagenome. Its description in RNAcentral is "partial contains 5.8S ribosomal RNA, internal transcribed spacer 2, and large subunit ribosomal RNA". The stretch from base 1 to 120 matches the Rfam family "5.8S ribosomal RNA", at positions 35 to 154 of the family's 154-position model. The record is from RNAcentral.
GAUGAAGAACGUAGCGAAAUGCGAUAAGUAAUGUGAAUUGCAGAAUUCAGUGAAUCAUCGAAUCUUUGAACGCACCUUGCGCUCCUUUGUAUUCCGAGGAGCAUGCCUGUUUGAGUGUCAUUAAUAUAUCAACCUUCUCUUUUUUGAGUUGUUUGGAUGUGGGGGUUUGCUGGCUUCUUAAAUGAUUCAGCUCCCCUGAAAUGCAUUAGCAGAACAACCUGUUCAUUAGCGUGAUAAUUAUCUAUGCUAUUGAAUGUGAGGGCAGUUCAGCUUUCUAACCGUCCUUGGACAAUUCAUCAUUAAUGUGACCUCAAAUCAGGUAGGACUACCCGCUGAACUUAAGCAUAUCAAUAAGCGGAGGA